Streptomyces yokosukanensis is the source of this 69-nucleotide non-coding RNA. It matches the Rfam family "ASpks TB sRNA". The record is from Rfam. Lineage: Bacteria; Bacillati; Actinomycetota; Actinomycetes; Kitasatosporales; Streptomycetaceae.
CUUCACCGAGCCCAGCCACAGGGGCUCCGCGCGGUCCUGGCCGUAGGUGGCCAGCAGCGCCUGGGCCUC